CUCCUGGUCACCAGCAAACUGAUACUGCUGUAGUGGGAAUCCUUGGGCAGCCUGGGAAAUCAGGCCAAGGCUUGUGGAUCCGCUGUUUCCACUGCUGGGAGGAGGAGGAGGAGGAGGAGGAGAGAUUUCCCAAUCCUUUCUGCUACAGC
RNAcentral lists this long non-coding RNA (149 nucleotides) under Parus major (Great Tit). Its description in RNAcentral is "lncRNA (ENSPMJG00000016467.1)". Lineage: Eukaryota; Metazoa; Chordata; Aves; Passeriformes; Paridae. The record is from RNAcentral.